CUAUCUCCAUUUUAUCUUUCAUUUCACUCACAAUAAAAUCAUAUAUUGGUUUUGAUAAAUGAGUUAUCAUUGGUCUUGUGUCAAGAUAUACAUUGUUCCGGUAUAUCUCGACACAGGAACAAUACUAACUCAUUUAUCAAUAAAAAUGUAUGAUUUUAUUGAAAGUGAAAUGAAAGAUAUAAUGGGAGACAU
Molecule: non-coding RNA, 192 nt
Organism: Brassica rapa (field mustard)
Lineage: Eukaryota; Viridiplantae; Streptophyta; Magnoliopsida; Brassicales; Brassicaceae
Source: RefSeq, marked provisional